UUGAACGCUGGCGGCAUGCCUUACACAUGCAAGUCGAACGGCAGCACGGGAGCAAUCCUGGUGGGCGAGUGGCGAACGGGUGAGUAAUAUAUCGGAACGUGCCCAGUCGUGGGGGAUAACGUAGCGAAAGCUACGCUAAUACCGCAUACGAUCUAUGGAUGAAAGCGGGGGAUCGCAAGACCUCGCGCGAUUGGAGCGGCCGAUAUCAGAUUAGGUAGUUGGUGAGGUAAAGGCUCACCAAGCCGACGAUCUGUAGCUGGUCUGAGAGGACGACCAGCCACACUGGGACUGAGACACGGCCCAGACUCCUACGGGAGGCAGCAGUGGGGAAUUUUGGACAAUGGGCGCAAGCCUGAUCCAGCAAUGCCGCGUGCAGGAUGAAGGCCUUCGGGUUGUAAACUGCUUUGUACGGAACGAAACGGUGAGCUCUAAUACAGUUUGCUAAUGACGGUACCGUAAGAAUAAGCACCGGCUAACUACGUG
RNAcentral lists this ribosomal RNA (483 nucleotides) under uncultured bacterium. RNAcentral describes it as "bacterial SSU rRNA". It matches the Rfam family "Bacterial small subunit ribosomal RNA", at positions 30 to 507 of the family's 1533-position model. The record is from RNAcentral.